This 449-nucleotide ribosomal RNA is filed under the name uncultured bacterium. Its description in RNAcentral is "bacterial SSU rRNA". It matches the Rfam family "Bacterial small subunit ribosomal RNA", at positions 328 to 793 of the family's 1533-position model. The record is from RNAcentral.
UGCCCAGACUCCUACGGGAGGCAGCAGUGGGGGAUAUUGCACAAUGGGGGGAACCCUGAUGCAGCGACGCCGCGUGGGUGAAGGAGUGCUUCGGCAUGUAAAGCCCUAUCGGCAGGGAAGAAGCAAGGCGGUACCUGACUAAGAAGCCCCGGCUAACUACGUGCCAGCAGCCGCGGGAAUACGUAGGGGGCGAGCGUUAUCCGGAUUCACUGGGUGUAAAGGGAGCGUAGACGGCCAUGCAAGCCAGGGGUGAAAGCCCGGGGCCCAACCCCGGGACUGCUCUGGGAACUGUGCGGCUGGAGUGCAGGAGAGGUAAGUGGAAUUCCUAGUGUAGCGGUGAAAUGCGUAGAUAUUAGGAGGAACACCAGUGGCGAAGGCGGCUUACUGGACUGUAACUGACGUUGAGGCUCGAAAGCGUGGGGAGCAAACAGGAUUAGAUACCCGGGUAU